This 2517-nucleotide long non-coding RNA is filed under the name Olea europaea (common olive). RNAcentral's name for it is "long non-coding RNA (OEUR_LNC005961)". The record is from RNAcentral. Lineage: Eukaryota; Viridiplantae; Streptophyta; Magnoliopsida; Lamiales; Oleaceae.
CACGCUAGCAAUAACUUGCCUUGCCAAGUCAUUUGUUCCUGCAAGAACCUUAGUCCAGGCCUUCCUCCCUUCCUCGUACCUCGAAUACGAUGCCUCAGUCCUAAAGACCAACAAAAGUGCCAAGGCCGGUGCUGCCAACUGAUAGGGCAAAGAAGAGGCUCUCAAAAUGGGGAAAAACUCCGGUAGCCAAUGCAAUGAUACUGCUGAAUUAUAACUGGCUAUAAUUACAGCCACUGAAGUAAAUGCAAUCACUGGAGGAACCAGCGAUAAAAUCACCCGCGAACUGAGACUCGAUAAAAGAUGCCUUAAAUGCCUUAAGGAGCUUCUGUGCUGCACCCAUUUUUCAUGGUCAUAUAAGGACCUUUUCUGUUUCAUACCCCUUUCUUUCACACUGUCAGCCCAGUUGGGUAUUGCAUGAAGAAUCGACGACAGGGUCAAAGUUUCAUUCGAUGACGAAUCCGAUGGCUGUGAAGAACAAAGAAAUCUGAAAGUGAGUUUCUUGGAACUUUUGGAAGGAAAUGGAUAAUGGUGAAACUUGAGGGGUAUCCUGGGAUUGAAAUCGGAAGAAUAAAAAGAGAAAUUGGCUGGAUUUUGAAUUGGGUUUUUGCGCAUGUUCAUUUUUUGAAUUCUUGAUUAGGGUUUGGAGAUUGAAGGAGAAAUAUUUAGAGGAGAAGGGGACAUGACUCUGGUUCAGACCGUAGAAGCGAAAUUCUUUAUUUUCAUUUUCGGAAUUGGAUAGGUAUUUGGAAACGGUUAAUUUGUGACUGAGGUUUUUACACACGUUUCAAUAUUAUAUGCUGCCUUUUCUUUUAUUUUUUGCUUAUUGGCACAAAAUCUCCAUAACUAAUUAUAUACAUAUCACUAUUUUUAUCAUUUGCACCACAUUUUUAAUUGUACUUAAAUUCUUAAUCUUUAACAUUAUAACACUUAUGUCAUUAACAUUUUCAUGUCAUUUUUAUUCUCAAACUCUUCAUUAGCUAACAUAUUUUAUAUUUGAUAACAACGUGCCUCUCUCAAUCUGUGCAUCAAAAAAAGGCUCACCCUAAUACCUUUAUAUAUGAAUAAUGGAGCUUACCAACAUCUGGCGCUGUGUGUCCUCCAUAUUUAACAACCAAAUGCUUUGAGAUAUGAAGUUGAUGAUGCAUUGGGGACGAUGUUUUGAACUGAGGACUACUUCUAGAUAGACAUACUAACUAAUGAAAGGUUUAAGAUAAGAAUUUAAAGAAAAAAUAAACAAAAUAAUUGCUAUAAUGAGCAAAUAUUGAAGAGAUAAGUUGCAAUAAAAUGUGAUGUAUCAAAUAAAAAUUGUGAUGACAAUAUAUCUACACAUCUCCAUAUUCUUUGGACUUAUUGUGAAAGAUAUACUUGUGUCUUUGACAAAAAUGUAACAAAGAUUGAUAUCUGAACUAAUACUGUGCAUGCCUCAAUUAUAAAAUGACGGGUCCUAAUUUUCAAUAAUAUCGAAAACUAAUGAAGAAAUAGAAUGCAGGCAAAGAGAAAGUGUCCUCUGAUGCACAAACUAAUUUAUUUAUAUUGGCUUCAAACACUCUCUUUACCUGUAGACCAUAUUCAUUUUUUCCAUCAAAGGCCUGGCACGAGCACAAUAUUUAGCCCUUGUUUGGCCCCAAUUAAAAUUAUAAUUCAUUUUUCUCUUUCUUCUUAUCAUCCGUACAUUUUCUAAUAAAAUAAUAUUAUACAUAAUUCCAAAACAUUUUCCUUUUUAGCCACGCAUUCUUCAAAAAACACUUUUCCAACCAUUAGAAUUUCAAUUAAUGGGGGCCAAAUGGGUGCUUAUAAGUGGGGGGCACUGAGCCUUAUACGCAAGAUUUCUCUCCUCCCAAACCAUAUUUAAACCACCUCGUCUAAAAUUGACAAACUUGUAUUUUUGGGAGUUAAAAUUAUACACAACUAACUUGUUACGUGUACAAUUUUUUUUUUAAAAAAAAAAUCAAAAUAUUAUGAAGAAGAUAAGAGAAGUUUGUUUAUAUGACGAAAUUAAAUAUCAUUUUCCUGAUUAUAUGCAAUUGUUGCAUACUCGUAUUCGAAAAUGAGCUUCUUACCAAUUUGUUAUAUGCAUCAAUGCUUCUAAAAUAUCUUCUUUGAAACUGUUUCUGGCCUCAGACUAAGCUCACUUACCUAUAUUAAAAGCAAACUACGAGCUAUAGUAUAAAUCAGAGGUGUUAGUAGAUCUUUUGUAAUGGCAAAACUAAUAAGAUAUUUUUGUUCGUUAGGCAAAGAAGAGGCUCUCAAAAUGGGGAAAAACUCCGGUAGCCAAUGCAAUGAUACUGCUGAAUUAUAACUGGCUAUAAUUACAGCCACUGAAGUAAAUGCAAUCACCGGAGGAACCAGCGAUAAAAUCACCCGCGAACUGAGACUCGAUAAAAGAUGCCUUAAAUGCCUUAAGGAACUUCUGUGCUCCACCCAUUUUUCAUGGUCAUAUAAGGACCUUUUCUGUUUCAUACCCCUUUCUUUCACACUGUCAGCCCAGUUGGGUAUUGCAUGAAGAAUCGACGACAG